CUUUAAUGUUUACUCUGGUAUAAGCGAGUCGGUUGACGAAAAGAAUACCAACAGAAUCGAUAAUACUUAUAAAAAAAGCGAGUGGGACUUGAUACUUUAAUAAGAAUAUUCGAAGCACUUUUAGUGAUAUAUCUCCUUCAUAUCUUAUAAAGUUGAUGACAUAUUUUGCUCAAGUUAGAUGCGCCAGUUUCUUAAUAGAAUUUUAUUAUAAUUUCGUUUCGUCCAUGAAAGAAGUUUCUUGAAUGUAGGCUACCAAAAUACGAGAUGCUUUUGUAUCUGCUAUAAGAAGACAUAGAUGAAAAGAAAUCAGGAUCGUAACGGACUUAAUAAGUAUUUUUCCUUGAUGCUCUAUAACACUCUCAUCCAUCAUACUAAAUUGUCAUUUAUCACUCUAAUUCAAAUAAUUAGUCAGAAAUUAUGUUUAGAUUUUAUUGAGACGCUGGACACGAGGUUUUCAGUCAUUUAGAAUCAGUGGAACAGGAAGGUAAUGCUUUUUUUAUGCUUCUCAGCUAUUUUCGUCUGCCUUGGAUUCGCAGCUAAAGGACAGGUGGAAUUUAAAGAGCAAGUUGUGGUUGAGCAGGUUUUAGAAAACUGCAAAUCAGCUUGCAUCUUAUCGAGACCUAUAAGAGAUGCGAAACAAAAAGUUACUGUUGAAAUGAUGAUUAGGUUGGUUGAAAUUAUUGAUGGAGACCCUAAACUUGGAGAGUUUACAUUAAGAUUGGCAGAGGAUUAUUCUUGGAUAGAUUCAAGGUUAUCGUGGCCAGAUUCGGAUGUUGAUAUGAUCAGCCUUCCUGAUAAGUAUAUCUGGAUUCCUGAUAUUAAACCCAACAAUUGUAGAAUUUCGUAUGAUUCUUAUUCGGCUGCAUACCGUUCUCAUCCAGCGAAGAUAAAAAGAAAUGGAAGCGUUCAUUGGAGUAAAUAUCGCCUUAUGAAGGUGAAAUGUAAGUUCGAUAGAUCCAAACCAGUAUUAACGAACAUGUAUGCAUGUACAAUUAUUUAUUACUCAUCAAUUUGGAAUGCUAAUCAGCUAGACGUAACUUCUAUGACGAACUCAAUAACGAAACAUGUUGAUUACGUAGAAAACUCUUUUUGGAACCUUAAGAAAUUAGGUGCAAAAAUAAUACAUUAUAGAGAUAAAUGCUGUAAGGAUUUAUUUGUCCUAAUUAAUGUAACUUUUCAUUUUACACAUGCUUCUUAUUUUGUGUAAGCAUGUAUUGCAAUAGACGCAAUAGAAACUAUUGUGCUAUAGUAUAGAAAAGCGUUAUCGUAUUUCAAAAUUUAUUAUUUCGAAUAGAAUGAGCAGUAAACAUAAAAAGAUUGGUAUCAUCUUUGUUUUUCUCUUUGUUGCGCUCACAUUCAAUGAAGAGUAAUCUGACUUCUUUCUAGGGAGUACAUCUUAGCAUUUCUUCAAAUAUUUCCUUCUCUUCCGGUCAUUUUGAGAUGAGAAAAUAUGAAAAUACUUGUUCGACCUUAAAACACACUUAUCCUUUUAAAAGAAAAUUAAUAGAAAUGAAAAAAUGAAACAUAAUAAAGUACUGAGGCGGAAAUAGAGUCAAUACUCUUUCUUCAUUUUUAGUUUUUCCAGAUGCACAUUAUAACAGGUUGAUCAUAAUGUAAAAGUGGAAUUUAAAGUAUCGACACGUCUUCCUAGAAUGAUAAAUAUGAAAGAGUUAUUUUAAUUUCCACCAUUAUUAUUUAUUUAAUUAGAUAUCAAGCUGUGGGAUUUCUGUCGGGAUAUUUCAAAUAUGCUGUAAAGGAAGAUAAAUAAUACAUUAUUGAUGUGAGGGAUUAGCAAAGAUAAUUGUAGGUAUAUAUUUAUAUGUUUAUCCGCCUCCACCUUGUUAUCCCUUCAGAAUAGCACAACCACAAAAGUUCCCAGAAGACAGACAAAAUUUCUCAGCAUGCUACUUAUAGUAUGAACAAUGUCGUGUGAGGAAUAAAAAAAAUUACGAGUCGCAAAAUGAGGGAGAUAUGCCCUAUUCUGUUUCGUUAGUUAGGGAAACGUUGCUGUCGAACCGAUUUAUCUCUG
RNAcentral lists this unclassified non-coding RNA (2029 nucleotides) under Dimorphilus gyrociliatus. Its description in RNAcentral is "neur_chan_LBD domain-containing protein". Lineage: Eukaryota; Metazoa; Annelida; Polychaeta; Dinophilidae. The record is from RNAcentral.